AAAGGGAAGCCGCGGGUUAGAAGGAAAAAUUGUGACAGCUAUUCCAUAACUGAGGAAGAAGAAACAUUUUAUCACUGUUGAAAUGGUUCCCACCACUGAAUCAAUAAGUGCUUGAGCUUUUUAUGAUUCUCCUUAGCACAGCCUUUUGAAAGCACGACCCUGAUGCAGAUGAAGCACAGAUGAUGCGGAGGGCACAAGGCGGCCAGGGUGAUGUGACUGCUCCCCUCGGCCUGCUGGUGUCCUGCAAGGCACAGCCAGCACACUGCACCCAGCCACCAGAUCCCAGAGCAGCCUAAUUAUGUGACCUUACCACAAGGUUCAACCCCCUGGGCGGGAGGAAAGGAAAUCCUUUCAGACAUAGCGCGUCAGAGCUUCUUGAGAUCUUUCCCCUUUACUCAUGCCUCAGCCCCACUGGUCUGACAUGUGGGCCUUAUGUAAUUGUGUUCCAAGCCAAACUAAAAGCAAAGUGAUCCUAGCACAUUUGGGCACGGAUCAAACAAAACAGUGUAAUGUGGUUGCAGCACGGACCACAGAUACAUUAUACCACCCUCUUCCACCCACAGCCAUAGCUCCCUAAUAAAAAUCAGAGAA
Oxyura jamaicensis (ruddy duck) is the source of this 591-nucleotide long non-coding RNA. RefSeq lists it as uncharacterized. NCBI's taxonomy places the organism in Eukaryota, Metazoa, Chordata, Aves, Anseriformes, Anatidae. The transcript has 2 exons. The record is from RefSeq and is a predicted model, not a curated record.